ACGGGUGAGUAACACGUAGGCAACCUGCCCUCAAGCUUGGGACAACUACCGGAAACGGUAGCUAAUACCGAAUACUUGUUUUCUUCGCCUGUAGGGAACUGGAAAGACGGAGCAAUCUGUCACUUGAGGAUGGGCCUGCGGCGCAUUAGCUAGUUGGUGAGGUAACGGCUCACCAAGGCGACGAUGCGUAGCCGACCUGAGAGGGUGAUCGGCCACACUGGGACUGAGACACGGCCCAGACUCCUACGGGAGGCAGCAGUAGGGAAUCUUCCGCAAUGGGCGAAAGCCUGACGGAGCAAUGCCGCGUGAGUGAUGAAGGUUUUCGGAUCGUAAAGCUCUGUUGCCAGGGAAGAACGCUUAGGAGAGUAACUGCUCCUGAGGUGACGGUACCUGAGAAGAAAGCCCCGGCUAACUACGUGCCAGCAGCCGCGGUAAUACGUAGGGGGCAAGCGUUGUCCGGAAUUAUUGGGCGUAAAGCGCGCGCAGGCGGUCAUUUAAGUCUGGUGUUUAAUCCCGGGGCUCAACCCCGGAUCGCACUGGAAACUGGGUGACUUGAGUGCAGAAGAGGAGAGAGGA
RNAcentral lists this ribosomal RNA (576 nucleotides) under uncultured bacterium. Its description in RNAcentral is "bacterial SSU rRNA". It matches the Rfam family "Bacterial small subunit ribosomal RNA", at positions 102 to 665 of the family's 1533-position model. The record is from RNAcentral.